This 1346-nucleotide ribosomal RNA is filed under the name Nocardiopsis sp. RNAcentral's name for it is "bacterial SSU rRNA". It matches the Rfam family "Bacterial small subunit ribosomal RNA", at positions 102 to 1446 of the family's 1533-position model. The record is from RNAcentral. Lineage: Bacteria; Bacillati; Actinomycetota; Actinomycetes; Streptosporangiales; Nocardiopsidaceae.
ACGGGUGAGUAACACGUGAGCAACCUGCCCCUGACUCCGGGAUAAGCGGUGGAAACGCCGUCUAAUACCGGAUACGACCCGCCACCUCAUGGUGGAGGGUGGAAAGUUUUAUCGGUCAGGGAUGGGCUCGCGGCCUAUCAGCUUGUUGGUGGGGUAACGGCCUACCAAGGCGAUUACGGGUAGCCGGCCUGAGAGGGCGACCGGCCACACUGGGACUGAGACACGGCCCAGACUCCUGCGGGAGGCAGCAGUGGGGAAUAUUGCACAAUGGGCGAAAGCCUGAUGCAGCGACGCCGCGUGGGGGAUGACGGCCUUCGGGUUGUAAACCUCUUUUACCACCAACGCAGGCUCCACGUUCUCGUGGGGUUGACGGUAGGUGGGGAAUAAGGACCGGCUAACUACGUGCCAGCAGCCGCGGUAAUACGUAGGGUCCGAGCGUUGUCCGGAAUUAUUGGGCGUAAAGAGCUCGUAGGCGGCAUGUCGCGUCUGCUGUGAAAGACCGGGGCUUAACUCCGGUUCUGCAGUGGAUACGGGCAUGCUAGAGGUAGGUAGGGGAAACUGGAAUUCCUGGUGUAGCGGUGAAAUGCGCAGAUAUCAGGAGGAACACCGGUGGCGAAGGCGGGUUUCUGGGCCUUACCUGACGCUGAGGAGCGAAAGCAUGGGGAGCGAACAGGAUUAGAUACCCUGGUAGUCCAUGCCGUAAACGUUGGGCGCUAGGUGUGGGGACUUUCCACGGUUUCCGCGCCGUAGCUAACGCAUUAAGCGCCCCGCCUGGGGAGUACGGCCGCAAGGCUAAAACUCAAAGGAAUUGACGGGGGCCCGCACAAGCGGCGGAGCAUGUUGCUUAAUUCGACGCAACGCGAAGAACCUUACCAAGGUUUGACAUCACCCGUGGACCUGUAGAGAUACAGGGUCAUUUAGUUGGUGGGUGACAGGUGGUGCAUGGCUGUCGUCAGCUCGUGUCGUGAGAUGUUGGGUUAAGUCCCGCAACGAGCGCAACCCUUGUUCCAUGUUGCCAGCACGUAAUGGUGGGGACUCAUGGGAGACUGCCGGGGUCAACUCGGAGGAAGGUGGGGACGACGUCAAGUCAUCAUGCCCCUUAUGUCUUGGGCUGCAAACAUGCUACAAUGGCCGGUACAAUGGGCGUGCGAUACCGUAAGGUGGAGCGAAUCCCUUAAAGCCGGUCUCAGUUCGGAUUGGGGUCUGCAACUCGACCCCAUGAAGGUGGAGUCGCUAGUAAUCGCGGAUCAGCAACGCCGCGGUGAAUACGUUCCCGGGCCUUGUACACACCGCCCGUCACGUCAUGAAAGUCGGCAACACCCGAAACUUGUGGCCUAACCCUUCGG